This 594-nucleotide ribosomal RNA is filed under the name Incrucipulum longispineum. RNAcentral's name for it is "eukaryotic LSU rRNA". It matches the Rfam family "Eukaryotic large subunit ribosomal RNA", at positions 50 to 658 of the family's 3401-position model. Lineage: Eukaryota; Fungi; Ascomycota; Leotiomycetes; Helotiales; Lachnaceae. The record is from RNAcentral.
GCGGAGGAAAAGAAACCAACAGGGAUUACCUCAGUAACGGCGAGUGAAGCGGUAACAGCUCAAAUUUGAAAUCUGGUCCUUUCAGGGCCCGAGUUGUAAUUUGUAGAAGAUGCUUUGGGUGUGGCCCCGGUCUAAGUUCCUUGGAACAGGACGUCAUAGAGGGUGAGAAUCCCGUAUGUGACUGGGUGCUUUCGCCCGUGUAAAGCUCUUUCGACGAGUCGAGUUGUUUGGGAAUGCAGCUCAAAAUGGGUGGUAAAUUUCAUCUAAAGCUAAAUAUUGGCCAGAGACCGAUAGCGCACAAGUAGAGUGAUCGAAAGAUGAAAAGCACUUUGGAAAGAGAGUUAAACAGUACGUGAAAUUGUUGAAAGGGAAGCGCUUGCAACCAGACUCGCAUGCCGUCGAUCAUCCUGGGUUCUCCCUGGUGCACUCGGCGGCGUUCGGGCCAGCAUCGGUUUUGGUGGUGGGAUAAAGGCCUUGGGAAUGUGGCUCCUCUCGGGGAGUGUUAUAGCCCUCGGUGCAAUGCCGCCUACCGGGACCGAGGACCGCGCUUCGGCUAGGAUGCUGGCGUAAUGGUUGUAAGCGACCCGUCUUGAA